Molecule: non-coding RNA, 46 nt
Organism: Mesocricetus auratus (golden hamster)
Lineage: Eukaryota; Metazoa; Chordata; Mammalia; Rodentia; Cricetidae
Source: Rfam
CCAAAGGCUCUUUUAAGAGCCACUAAGUUUUCAGUAUUAAGAGUUG